This is a long non-coding RNA of Mytilus californianus (California mussel), 415 nucleotides long. RefSeq lists it as uncharacterized. Lineage: Eukaryota; Metazoa; Mollusca; Bivalvia; Mytilida; Mytilidae. The transcript has 3 exons. The record is from RefSeq and is a predicted model, not a curated record.
UUCUAUAUUGUGUUGAUAAUACUAUAUAAUAAAAAGUCGUCACUAAUCUGGAUAUUUCUCUGCAGAGACAGACUGGAGAAUGGCGACUAAAACAGCGUCUGGACUGGUGCUUUUAAUUGCUGUAACGAUAGUCUGUCACGUAACAUCACAAUGCGGGGAAAACCAUUGUAGAAGUGUGAAAGGAGGCUGUUAUGUUAAUCAAGAGGAGUGGAUGGAGGGGUGUACAAAGAAAAGAUGUGUGGUUGAAGAACUUUCUUGGAGAACAGAAAUAGUCAAGAUACAGUGCAGAGACAAAGAUGGUACCUGUAUAGAUGAUCAACAACCAAUGCCUGAAUACGGCGAUUGUGUCUGUUAUGUUACGACAAAAGGUUGGAGAAUGACGUGUACCCGCGGUGGUUAAACACUCAUAUUUUUU